This 460-nucleotide ribosomal RNA is filed under the name uncultured bacterium. Its description in RNAcentral is "partial 16S ribosomal RNA". It matches the Rfam family "Bacterial small subunit ribosomal RNA", at positions 338 to 795 of the family's 1533-position model. The record is from RNAcentral.
CCUACGGGUGGCAGCAGUGAGGAAUAUUGGUCAAUGGCCGGAAGGCUGAACCAGCCAAGCCGCGUGAAGGACGAAGGUGCCAAGCAUUGUAAACUUCUUUUGUCAAGGGACAAGAUCAGGCUCGAGAGCCUGACCGAGGGUACUUGAAGAAAAAGCAUCGGCGAACUCCGUGCCAGCAGCCGCGGUCAUACGGAGGAUGCGAGCGGUAUCCGGAUUUAGUGUGUUUAAAGGGUUCGUAGGCGGUGGGAUAAGUUAGAGGUGAAAUCCCGAGGCUCAACUUGUGAAUUGUGUCUGAUACUGUUCGGCUAGAGAGUAGUUGCGGUAGGCGGAAUGUAGGGUGUAGCGGUGAAAUGCUUAGAGAUCAUACAGAACACCGAUUGCGAAGGCAGCUUACCAAGCUACUUCUGACGUUGAGGCACGAAAGCGUGGGGAGCAAACAGGAUUAGAUACCCCUGUAGUC